RNAcentral lists this ribosomal RNA (435 nucleotides) under uncultured bacterium. RNAcentral's name for it is "bacterial SSU rRNA". It matches the Rfam family "Bacterial small subunit ribosomal RNA", at positions 355 to 796 of the family's 1533-position model. The record is from RNAcentral.
UCGAGGAUCUUCGGCAAUGGGCGCAAGCCUGACCGAGCGACGCCGCGUGCGCGAUGAAGGCCUUCGGGUUGUAAAGCGCUGUCGAGGGGGAGGAAAACCCGCAAGGGUCUGACCUAUCCCUGGAGGAAGCACGGGCUAAGUUCGUGCCAGCAGCCGCGGUAAGACGAACCGUGCGAACGUUGUUCGGAAUCACUGGGCUUAAAGGGCGCGUAGGCGGAUUGCCAAGUCCGGGGUGAAAUCGUUCGGCCCAACCGGACAAGUGCCUUGGAUACUGGCGAUCUUGAGCGAGGUAGGGGCAGCUGGAACUUCCGGUGGAGCGGUGAAAUGCGUUGAUAUCGGAAGGAACGCCGGUGGCGAAAGCGAGCUGCUGGACCUUUUCUGACGCUGAGGCGCGAAAGCCAGGGGAGCAAACGGGAUUAGAUACCCCCGUAGUCC